RNAcentral lists this non-coding RNA (679 nucleotides) under Stegodyphus mimosarum. RNAcentral describes it as "Eukaryotic small subunit ribosomal RNA". It matches the Rfam family "Eukaryotic small subunit ribosomal RNA", at positions 1 to 578 of the family's 1831-position model. The record is from Rfam by way of RNAcentral. Lineage: Eukaryota; Metazoa; Arthropoda; Arachnida; Araneae; Eresidae.
AUAGUUGAUCCUGCCAGUAGUCAUAUGCUUGUCUCAAAGAUUAAGCAUGCCUGUUUAAGUACAUGCUGUAUUAAGGUGAAAUCAUGAAUGGCUUAUUAAAUCAGUUAUGGUUCCUUGGAUUGUACCUUACUACUUGGAUAACUGCGGGAAUUCUAGAGUUAAUACAUACAGCAGACUUCUGAUCCUCUGGAGAUGAGUGUUUUUAUUUGACCAAAACCAAUCGGACCUAGUCUCCGUAUUAUGUGGUGGCUCUGUAUAACUUUGGGUUAAUCGCAUGGGCUCAUCCUGCUGAUGUAUGUUUCAGGUGUCUGCCUUAUCAACUAUCGAUGGUAGGUUAUGUGCCUACCAUGGUCGUAAUGGGCGACGUCGAAUCAGGGUUCAAUUCCGGAGAAGUAGCCUAAGAAAUGGCUAUUGCAUCCAAGGAAGGCAGCAGGCAUGGAAAUUACUCAUUCCCAUAAUGGGGAGUUAAUGACAAAAAAUAACAAGAGAGAGUGAUGGGUUCUUUUGAGACCCCAUAAUUGGAAUGAGUGAUCUCUAAAUCCUUUAACGGGCAAGUCUAGUGCCAGCAGCCACUUUGCGUCACUGACUGCCGUGCCGAAGGGCCUGGGUUUGAAUUCCGAAGAAGGCAUGGAUAUUUGUAAAGUGUCGGUGUGGCAUGGUGGCACUCUAAGUAUGUGCU